AGACAGAGGGUGCAAACGUUGUUCGGAAUUACUGGGCGUAAAGCGCGUGUAGGCUGUUGUGCGAGUCGGGUGUGAAAGCCCUGGGCUCAACCCAGGAAGUGCACUCGAAACUGCGCGACUUGAGUCUCGGAGAGGGAGGCGGAAUUCUGGGUGUAGAGGUGAAAUUCGUAGAUAUCCAGAGGAACACCGGCGGCGAAGGCGGCCUCCUGGGCGAGCACUGACGCUGAGACGCGAAAGCGUGGGGAGCAAACAGGAUUAGAUACCCCAGUAGUCC
Molecule: ribosomal RNA, 274 nt
Filed under: uncultured bacterium
Lineage: Bacteria
Description: partial 16S ribosomal RNA
Rfam family: Bacterial small subunit ribosomal RNA
Source: RNAcentral